Molecule: ribosomal RNA, 460 nt
Filed under: uncultured bacterium
Lineage: Bacteria
Description: bacterial SSU rRNA
Rfam family: Bacterial small subunit ribosomal RNA
Source: RNAcentral
GGGCGCAAGCNUGAUCCAGCCAUGCCGCGUGAGUGAUGAAGGCCUUCGGGUUGUAAAGCUCUUUUGUCAGGGAAGAAACGGAUGAGGUUAAUACCUUCGGCUAAUGACGGUACCUGAAGAAUAAGCACCGGCUAACUACGUGCCAGCAGCCGCGGUAAUACGUAGGGUGCAAGCGUNAAUCGGAAUUACUGGGCGUAAAGCGUGCGCAGGCGGUUUUGUAAGUCUGACGUGAAAUCCCCGGGCUCAACCUGGGAAUUGCGUUGGAGACUGCAAGGCUGGAGUCUGGCAGAGGGGGGUAGAAUUCCACGUGUAGCAGUGAAAUGCGUAGANAUGUGGAGGAACACCGAUGGCGAAGGCANNCCCCUGGGUCAAGACUGACGCUCAUGCACGAAAGCGUGGGGAGCACACAGGAUUAGAUACCCUGGUAGUCCACGCCCUAAACGAUGUCUACUAGUUGUCG